CCGAGCACAGAGUACACAGCACCGAGCACGGAGCGCCGAGCACAGAGCCGCCUUUCAUUACAAAGGGCCGGGAAGCGGCUCCGAGCUGCCAGCAGCACUGACACCGUGCAAGAGGGGAUUUUUCAGGCUGAUGCAGCAACAAAGGCAGUUAAAUCUAGCCAGGGGGAAUUAUUUUUGGUAAUCCAUGUGUUGCUGCUCGUUGGGCGCUGGAGCAGAAGUAAGCAGGGGGAAGCUACCUGGAGAGGAGCAGCUUCCACAAGAAGCACCUGCUGCACUGCUGGACCUGUGUGUGCUGAGGGGGUUUGGGGUGCUGGCAUCCACCUGGAGUCCCUCGUUGCCUGGCAGGGCACAGGGGUGCUGGGCAUGGAAAGCCACCCGUGACACCCACGUCCAUCCUAGGGCAGGAGGAUGCUCCCUUCACUGCCUCUGCAGGGAGUCCAGGAGGUUCACACACCUCAGUGGGACAUUGUGGAGACAGAUCAGGAUGAAGCCCAGACCCUGGAGCCUGUCGAAGGCCGGGAGGGUGUUUCUGAAGGGAUUUGUGUUUUUGGAGACCUGCAUGCCAGCCCCAGUGCUCCCUAGGGAAACACCCUGGGCUCCCCCCAGCCCUGCCAGGUGGAGGAUGCUCCAGUGGCUCAUCACCUCCUCCCAGUGCUUCACACCAGCAGUGGAAGGUGACAGGACCCUGGAGGCUGCAGUGAGCCGUGGCAGUGAUCAGUGACUGUGCUGCCAUGCAGGGACCCACGGCCCCCGCCAUCCCAGGCUCGUGGCCAUCACAGCGUGGCCACAACUCAUCUCCCUGAUGGAGCUCAUCAUCUCAUCCUCUUCUGGUGGCAGCUCCUCACACAUCAGCUGCUGAGCCCAGGAGCCCCUGUGUGGAUCCAGCUGGGGCAAUGGUGUUGCUCCAUUCCCUGAGGAUGCCUUUGCAUCACCCCGGUGCCUUGCAGUGCUGGCUGCUCCUGUAGCAUGUGCCCACACUGUGCUCUGGUUAAUGGUGCAGCCACCACCAGGGUGCCCAGCACCCUGCCCAGACACUUGAACUCCGCCUUGGUGUGGGGUGAAGGUAGUUGAAAAUCCCUCUUCCUCCCCAUCAUCCUCCUCUUCUCCCUGCCCAGCCAGUGUCCACCACUGCAACAAGAUUAAACCAAUUGCACCAUUAUUUGUUCCAUAUUUAAUAAGGGUUUGAGGAGCAGAUCUCCCAGCAAGCCCCUGCUAUCAAUCAAACCUGCACAGAGUCCCCCUUCGUGCCUGCCUUUCCAAGAAGAAAGAAAACAAAAUUGGUCUAAUUUAUUAUUCAUUUGUUCAUUAAGUCUGUAUUAACCAGAUAUAUUAUAAAGGAAAACAGGAUUGCGCCUUUUGAUCAGUAAACCCUCUGCUCAUGAAUAUCCAUGAGGCUCCCCCCUGCCCCAGCACCUCUCCCGUGUGAUGGAGGGGGCAGUGGUGGGUGCUGGCACCGGGCUGGUCCUGGCACUGUUCAGGGCUGGGAAGCUGCUCUCAGCUCUCAGCUCUGUCUGCUUGCAGAGCUCUGGGGAUCAGCUGUGCCAUCCCACGGCACUCCAGAGCUCGCCACUGACGAGUGCCCACAGCUGGCAGGGAGAGGCCAAGCCCUGCUGGGCGCAGGAGGCCGUGGGGACGUGCUGGGGGGCACUGGGGUGAUG
Molecule: long non-coding RNA, 1658 nt
Organism: Zonotrichia albicollis (white-throated sparrow)
Lineage: Eukaryota; Metazoa; Chordata; Aves; Passeriformes; Passerellidae
Source: Ensembl